AUACUGCACAUUAGACAAAAACAACAACAAAAAAAAAGACAAGCAAACAAAAAAAAAAGAGCUUUUUAAGCUUCUGAGGAUAUACCAACGGAAGAUAUUAUUUUGGCCAAAGAAGUGCCAGUAAGGAUUCUACCGCUGAUGCCUCUUUUGUGUCUAGUUUUUGAUGACUCUUCCCAUGAGGAUUUGGCACUGAACACAGGAUAAAAGAAAUACAGAUUUCUGACUCCCAUAACCCCACCACUCAAUAAAGUCAGAAUGUGUUCUCACUUUCAUAAUAAGGGACAAGUUAAUGAAGAAAUGUGGGAAAGAAAAUGUUUUAUCUGUAGACACUUUCACAGACAGAUCUUCUAGGGAUUCCUGAUGAUCACAUUUUUAACUGAUUAUUUUUAAUAUCAAAAAACUAACAUCACUUUGCUAAAAGUUGUCUUCAUACAUUUGACAAAUACUAAAGGUUUAAUGGAUGUGGUCAAGUCAACACUCCUUUCAGUGCUAUUCUUGUGAGUGAGAUUUCUGUUGAAGUCUCUUGCUUCAUCCCUGUUUGGUUGUGUGUAGCUUCAACACAGAGGUUUAAGAAAGACCUAGUACAUUAUUAUGCCAGGCAUAAAUGUUCCUCCUACAGGGCUCUGCCAGCACUGAGACCCUUACAAAUGACUAACUGUAGCUGAUCUGUAAGGGCACCCCUGAAAUAGAGGUGAUUCUGUGCCUCAUUGAGGUUGUCAGGCCACAAUAUAAUUGCCAUUUUUGUUGCUGUACACAGAGGACUCUGUUCAUGUAAUUUAUGUAAAUGAAUACAGCAGUUUGUGAUAGACUCAGCUGUCUCAGAGUACACAGAUAAAUAGAAACAAAAAUACUUGUAAAUAAAGCAAAGAGAUUGCUAAACUUUGGAGGAGAAAAAUCCACAGCUUUGUAACACUGCUUUGAGAAUGCCAGCAAUGGGCAGAAAAUGGUUAAGGAAAAGAUCUAAUUCUAGCAACACCAGCACAUCACAUGGGUUAGACAUGGACUGUCAGCACGAGAUGAGCUGGAGAAAGGAGAUGGAGAACUGUUUUUCUUUUUCUCACUGCAUUGCAUCUGCAGAGUCCAAGUUUCUUUACAAAUAUAACAUGAUUCUCCAAACUAGGUACUAGAGGUCACAUUUUAAAACACUCACGUUGGACAGAUUCUUCAUUUUCUCCAUGUGAUCACUUAUGAAGGAAAAAGGCAAAUUAGAAAAGGGAGCAGUGCAAAUUAUGCCAUGCACUUCACUGUGGACUGGGAAGACCAUGGGUACAAAACAGAGGCGUCACCUGAGAUUCCACCCCUCCCAGGUGUGCUUCUGCUGCCAUUUUUGAUGGGCUAAUUCCAUUUCUUGGGCCAUAGCAGAAAAAAAAAAUCUUAGUUGGUAACAGGAAGAUGGGAGCAACUGAGGACAAAAAUCAUUACUAUUACCUGCUGAAAACAGGCUUGGACAAGGUUCUCAGGGAACAUAUUCCUGUUGAAGAUAUGAAAAGCAGUAUUAUGGUAGGGCCAAAAGUGGGAUCAUUUUUCUCAUACUAAGUUUCUCAUACUCUACAUAGGAGGAAAUGAACAUAAUAUAGAAUAAAUACUGUUUUCUCUUCUAGCCUCUCCUUUGUAUAAUACUUCCUUGCAUUAAGACUUAUUUCUUUCAUCCUCAGCCUAAACUGAGUACCAGAAAACUGUCCAGCAACUGUCACGUAACAAUUCACUAAGUGACAGGCUGGCCGAACUCAAUGAGAUAUUGCACUGGCAGGAGGAUACUCCCAGGCAAAAGGCAAUUCUUUAACUUCUGCACAUUACUGUUUUGGAGCCUUUUGAGGUGAUGUGGCUUUGGUUUAGGGCAGAGUUCAGGCCCCCUGAAGCUCCCUGGAUAAACUUCUGAAUGCCACUGAAACCUUCCCAUCCACCACUUUUUAUCCAUUCAUUAAAGCAGAGCUGCAGAGGUUAAGCUGGCUACCACACCUGAGUGCACUUCCUCCCUUUCUUUCCACUGUAGACAUCAUCCUUUAAGUGUCAGUAUGGUUAUCUAGAUGCUUAUUUCCCUCAAAUAACCAGUGUGGGCAGGGAGACACAGUCAGACCUGCCUCUACAUGCCUGCCAUCAUUGGAAGACUUGCCUCCUGCAGGCAGACAGCAUGAGCAGAGAGAAACAGCCAGACCUGCCCCUGUGCAUAUGCUGCCAUCAGGAAGCCUACUUCCCUCAGGUAACCAGUGUGGACAGGGUGAUACAGCCAGAUAUACCCUAUGCAUCUGCAGACCAUUGGAGAUGCUUCCUUCCUGUGAGCAACCAGCACAGGCAAGGAGAGUCACACAAACAUGCCUCUGUGCACCUGCCACCAUCAGGAGAAUCCCAUGGAGCUAUGUAAGCUGACAGAAGCAGCAACCCUGCCACCAUGCACCCAUGGCCAUCAGGAAAGUCUCGGUGUAGCUACAUGGGUCUGGAGAAUCUUGCUCCAUGCCUCACUUCCCUGGGAACUUAGGUCCAGAGAAACCCAGGUGCCUGGCCCAUUCCCCUACACUGUGGAGGAGCAGCCAACAUGGGAAUUGCCUGGGACCCCUCAACCAGCUUGUUGGGAGGAACCUAGGAAAAUGUCAAGACGAAGGGGCAAAAGGCAAUCUCAGACCUCCAGCCUACACAGAACAAGUCUCGGAGAUAUAGACAUGGAAGAAAAUGAAAUCACACAUACCUGAAAUCUCCCAAGAGGAUAGUGACAAAAGUGAAGAAACAACUUCAUUAAACUGUAAAAGUAAUCCAAUCAGAAAUAAUAUCUGAGGUAAAAGAAGAAAUCACAAAUGUAAUAAAAGAAUUGCUGAGCAUAUUUAAAGAAGACACAGAUAAAGAGGAGCAUAGGAAAAUGAUGGAAACCUUGAGUGAACAAUAUAGGAAGAAAUUACAAAGCACGAAACAGAUUCAGAGAUAUCCAGAAAGUUAAAAACUCUACUGAAAGCUGCAAAACCACUUGAAGGAGACUGAAGAUAAACUUUCAGACUUUGAAGAAAGAAUUGCAGCUAGUGAUUGUGAAAACAUCUCUUAAAAAUAACAGGGAACUAGGAAAUAACAAUUCAAUAGCUGCAAGACAAUGCAAAGAAAAAUAAUUUAAGAAUGAUAGGUGUCAGCAGGGGCCAAUACAAGUGACAUAAAAAGUCUAUUUACAGAAGUAACAGAAUAUUUUCCAAACACGGGGGAAGGACCUGGCAUACAUAUAUGAAAAACAUAUCUGCAUGUAUGUUUAUAUUUAUUUUUGGUACUAGGGGUCAAACUCAUAACCACACAGGUGCUUACACCACUGACCUAAAUCCUCAGCUACACAAAUAGAACUUCAACUAGCCAUAACCAAAAUAAAUCUAAACCUAGACAUAUAAUAAUCAAGACCUCAGAAAUUCAGCACAAGAAUAAAAUAUUAAAAGUUGUUCAAGAGGGGCCUCUUACAUUCCCUUGUAUGCAAGAAACAAAAAGUAUGAGAAGAGGAAGCAACAAGAAAGGGUCCUCAGUCCCCAAUCCUGAGAACACUGAUCCAGGAAAGGGAAAUGCAAAGGAAGACAGAAAACAUGCAAUAACAGACAUGGCACUAAUAGACAUAAAGCACUAUCUCCAGAACCUCAUAGACGAGUUUAAAAAUGAAGUAUUUAACGAAAUAAAGCAAAAUAUAAGUAGAAUAGUUAGAGAAAUGCUAAGCACCGCCCAAGAAAAAACAGAUGGUGGAAUGGAAGAACAGAAGAAAAGGGGAGAAUUGUUUAAUGGAGAAAAUAGAGAAAACAGAAUACGUGAAGCAGGUUCAAAGAGAUUACCAGGAAACUAAAAACUCUAUCGAAAGCUGACAUAACAGCUUGAAAGAAACUAAGGAUAGAUUAUCUGAAUUGGAGGCCAGAUUUGUAAUAUGGGAACAUGAAAUGAAAAACUUCUUAAAAAUAACAAGAAAACAAACAGCAAUAAUACAAAGGCUAGAAGAUGAUAAGAGGAUCCAUAACUUAAGAACAUAAAAGAAGAAGUAGAGACACAAACAAAUGGGCUACAAAAGCUAUUCACAGAAAUAAUCCAAGAGAAUUUCCCUAAUUUAGCAAAAGGUAAAGAUACUCAGAUGUAUGAAGCAUACAGGACCCCAGCCACCUACAACCCAAACAGAGCUACACCCAGGCAUAUAAUAAUCAAAAUUCCAGAAAUCCAAGAUAAGAACAGAAUACUAAAAGCCAUCAGAGACAAGAAACAGAUCACUUACAAGAGAACACCCAUCAGAAUUACAGCAGACUUCUCGGCACAAACUAUCAAAUCACGAAGAGUGUGGGGGGAAAUAAUUCAAGCUUUGAAAGACAAUAACCUCCAGCCACGAUUGAUAUAUCCUGCACAACUGUCCCUAGAAAUUGAUGGAAAAACAAGGUGCUUCCAGGAAAAGAGGAACUAGGGGAAUUUGCAACCACCAAUUCAACUCUACAGAGAAUACUGCAGGAUAUUCUAAAAAAGAAAAAUACCAAGAUUCCAGAAACAGUGGCAGAGAGGCCACAAUGAAUGGAGCAGAAAGCAAAAUGAAGAAGACAAACUUAUAACUAAUGACAGAAAAAGAGCUCAACAGAAAUGAGGCAGAGAAGGUUGGAUGGUAGGAACAGCUAUUUUGGAGAAAACAAGACAUCAUAAUAGCUAGUGCUGAUUUAAUAUCAUCUUGUUUUUGAAGUCCCAUCAAGCUUUUGUUCUUCUGUCUCCACUGGUCUUAACACGUUGUAUCUUAUUGGUUUUAUUAUAUGUGAUAAUAUAAACAAAAAUUUUUAUAGGCAAGGAGAUUAUACAGAAACCAUUGUUCAUUUUCUGUUAGUUGACUCUAAAUACCCUGUAAUACUGUCAUUCUCUUGAAUGGUUUUACAUUGUCUUGAUAUGUUUGAUGUUACAGUAUAUGAAGUUAUACUCAAAGAUUUCAAGGAAAGAGACCUAUGGUAACUACUUUUAUGUUGGGAUUAUCUUGUGGUGAAACACUAUUUUGCUUAAAUGGUUAUGUUUUGACCUGUGCUGUUUUGUUGUUAUGCCCUCUUUUAUCUCAAUCUCCUUUUUUAUUUACUUUUUCAUUUUUAUCCUUUUAAUUAAGGGAAAAGUAAAUAAAAAAUAGCAGGAUACAUUAUAGUAACCCACUUUGAUUUCCUAUUAACUUGAUUUGAAACCCUAUAUAGCCUUUACCAUCUUGCUUUGACUGAUUUUCCUCUAUUCUGCUUUGCUUGAUAGUACCAAGUUUGAAAGUAUAGGCAACAACUGUAAAGACAAUAAGAUUCAUUAUGACACCCAUUCUGGUUGACUAUUAUCUUCUUUUAAAGUCCUAUAAUGUCUCCAAUGUUUUGGUUUUAUUCUUUACUGUUUUGUUCAAUUUUAUUAUAACUGAUGAUAUAGGCAAUUCUUUUUAAGAUAGCAAGAGGCAGUAUGGUAACCAUUGUUGAUCACCUUGUAUUUUGUUUUUACAUUAUCUAUUAUGUCCAUCCUUUUGAUUUGACUGACUGUUCUGUUAUGUCACAUUUGGUUUUACUCUCUUCAAAAAAAAGUAAUAAGAACUGUGGGAGUAAUAAAACCCAAAAUGUGUAAUUGUCAUUGUAAAAAAGAAAAGAAAGUGCUCUAAAGAAUAUAACUGCAUAUAUAUUUAAGUGUAUAAGAUAGAUAACCAUAUUACUGAGUUUUGUUGGAUCAUUGAACAAAACUGUUUCCAGUCUCACUUUUUGAAAGUCCACUUAAUAUGCUUUAAUUUUGUAUCUUGAACAACUAUUUCUAAGAUAACAAUAUGUGAUCUAUUAACUAGUGAUUUCCUAUUGUUUAUUUUUUCUGAAAUUCUGUAUAACUUGUACCUUUUUUCUGUUUUUCUUUUCUUUUUCUCCUUAAAUAAAAAAAACUGAAAAAAACUCUGAAGGGAGGCAUUAACAGGAUGUAAUAGACAGUAAGCAAGUCGUAAGUGAAACAAACUAUAUUAGUUAAUGUGGAAAAUAUUAACCAUCUGUAUUCCAAAAAAUAGGAAAUGGGUUUUAAGAAAUAUUUUGCCACCUAAAAGUAGUUUUGCACUAUAUUUGAAGUAAAGAAAACAUUUACUUUAUUAAACAAAAGCCAAGAACCAGCCAGGGUGGAACCCAGGCGGCUGCAGAAGAAGGCAAUUUACCCGCCCUCUUGGUAAGCGCCGCCCUCUGGCACGAGUCAGGAGCAGACCCAGUCAGUAGUUCCCAUGAGCCUACCCCGUCCCUGCAAGGGAUGGAGAUCAAAGGUCCCAGUCCCCCACCCCUCUUAGCUACUGGGCACAGGGAUCUGAGCCUGUCCUGAGAAGAUGACCGUAUGCAAUAUAGCAAAUAUGGGGGAUUUCCUUCCAUCUUCUGUUUGAAGGCAGGUGUUUUUUUCACUGUUUUGUUUCAUUGCGAUUAAUUGUAUUACUCUAUUCAAUAUUCUCUUCUGAAUGGUUUUAUAAUGUUAUUUGAUUUUGCUAUACCUACUUGACUGGACAACUAUUGUGAUGAUAACGAGAUAUACGAUGGUACCUAUUUCUGUUAUCCUGGUAUCCUGCUGGGUAGUUCUGUACCAAUUUCACUGUACUGUCCCAGUUGGCUUUGUUUUGUCUGGUUCUGUUGUGUUUUUACUACCUUCAAAAUUAAAAAAAAAAAAGCCAAAAAGUUUGGCUAAGGGAAAAGCAUAAGAAAAUAAUGUUGUAGGAGAAUUAAAAAUAGUUCUAAAGAAACUUUUCUUGCCUCCCUCUAUACAUCCAGAUGAAUUUGUGAUGGUAAAAUAUUUAAAUGAAAAAUAGAGAUCAUUGAGUGACACAGCAUUGAAUACAAGUAUGAACACAUCAUUUUGGAGUGGAAGAAUUAUACAACUCUCUAAAAUUUACAAACUCACACCUAAACCAAAAGAAAAUAAUAAGCCAGGCACGGUGGCAUAUGUCCAUAAUUCCAGCACUUAGGAGACUGAGGCAGGAGGAUCGUUGCAAGUUCAAGACUAGCCUGGGCCACAAAGUGAGUCCAAGGCCAGCCUGAACUGCAUAGUGAGACCCUAUCUCAAAAAGACAAAACAAAACAAAACAAAAAGACAAAAAUUAUAGACCAAAGAAAAAAUAUUAAUACAUCUGAUCUGGUUGGAAAGCAAUUGAAAUACUGAGGAAAA
Long non-coding RNA from Cavia porcellus (domestic guinea pig), 7104 nucleotides. RefSeq lists it as uncharacterized. NCBI's taxonomy places the organism in Eukaryota, Metazoa, Chordata, Mammalia, Rodentia, Caviidae. The transcript has 2 exons. The record is from RefSeq and is a predicted model, not a curated record.